CCUACGGGAGGCAGCAGUGGGGAAUAUUGGACAAUGGGGGGAACCCUGAUCCAGCCAUGCCGCGUGUGUGAAGAAGGCCCUCGGAUUGUAAAGCACUUUCAGUGAGGAAGAACGCCUGGUGGUUAAUACCCAUCAGGAAAGACAUCACUCACAGAAGAAGCACCGGCUAACUCCGUGCCAGCAGCCGCGGUAAUACGGAGGGUGCGAGCGUUAAUCGGAAUUACUGGGCGUAAAGCGCGCGUAGGUGGCUUGAUAAGCCGGUUGUGAAAGCCCCGGGCUCAACCUGGGAACGGCAUCCGGAACUGUCAAGCUAGAGUGCAGGAGAGGAAGGUAGAAUUCCCGGUGUAGCGGUGAAAUGCGUAGAGAUCGGGAGGAAUACCAGUGGCGAAGGCGGCCUUCUGGACUGACACUGACACUGAGGUGCGAAAGCGUGGGUAGCAAACAGGAUUAGAUACCCCUGUAGUC
Molecule: ribosomal RNA, 465 nt
Filed under: Vreelandella stevensii
Lineage: Bacteria; Pseudomonadati; Pseudomonadota; Gammaproteobacteria; Oceanospirillales; Halomonadaceae
Description: partial 16S ribosomal RNA
Rfam family: Bacterial small subunit ribosomal RNA
Source: RNAcentral